GAUGAACGCUGGCGGCGUGCCUAAUACAUGCAAGUCGAGCGAACGGACGAGAAGCUUGCUUCUCUGAUGUUAGCGGCGGACGGGUGAGUAACACGUGGAUAACCUACCUAUAAGACUGGGAUAACUUCGGGAAACCGUAGCUAAUACCGGAUAAUAUUUUGAACCGCAUGGUUCAAAAGUGAAAGACGGUCUUGCUGUCACUUAUAGAUGGAUCCGCGCUGCAUUAGCUAGUUGGUAAGGUAACGGCUUACCAAGGCAACGAUGCAUAGCCGACCUGAGAGGGUGAUCGGCCACACUGGAACUGAGACACGGUCCAGACUCCUACGGGAGGCAGCAGUAGGGAAUCUUGCGCAAUGGGCGAAAGCCUGACGGAGCAACGCCGCGUGAGUGAUGAAGGUCUUCGGAUCGUAAAAUUCUGUUAUUAGGGAAGAACAUAUGUGUAAGUAACUGUGCACAUCUUGACGGUACCUAAUCAGAAAGCCACGGCUAACUACGUG
Molecule: ribosomal RNA, 497 nt
Filed under: uncultured bacterium
Lineage: Bacteria
Description: partial 16S ribosomal RNA
Rfam family: Bacterial small subunit ribosomal RNA
Source: RNAcentral